This 1296-nucleotide ribosomal RNA is filed under the name uncultured Ralstonia sp. RNAcentral's name for it is "bacterial SSU rRNA". It matches the Rfam family "Bacterial small subunit ribosomal RNA", at positions 57 to 1349 of the family's 1533-position model. The record is from RNAcentral. Lineage: Bacteria; Pseudomonadati; Pseudomonadota; Betaproteobacteria; Burkholderiales; Burkholderiaceae.
GCAGUCGAACGGCAGCAUGAUCUAGCUUGCUAGAUUGAUGGCGAGUGGCGAACGGGUGAGUAAUACAUCGGAACGUGCCCUGUAGUGGGGGAUAACUAGUCGAAAGAUUAGCUAAUACCGCAUACGACCUGAGGGUGAAAGUGGGGGACCGCAAGGCCUCAUGCUAUAGGAGCGGCCGAUGUCUGAUUAGCUAGUUGGUGAGGUAAAGGCUCACCAAGGCGACGAUCAGUAGCUGGUCUGAGAGGACGAUCAGCCACACUGGGACUGAGACACGGCCCAGACUCCUACGGGAGGCAGCAGUGGGGAAUUUUGGACAAUGGGGGCAACCCUGAUCCAGCAAUGCCGCGUGUGUGAAGAAGGCCUUCGGGUUGUAAAGCACUUUUGUCCGGAAAGAAAUCGCACUUACUAAUAUUAGGUGUGGAUGACGGUACCGGAAGAAUAAGGACCGGCUAACUACGUGCCAGCAGCCGCGGUAAUACGUAGGGUCCAAGCGUUAAUCGGAAUUACUGGGCGUAAAGCGUGCGCAGGCGGUUGUGCAAGACCGAUGUGAAAUCCCCGGGCUUAACCUGGGAAUUGCAUUGGUGACUGCACGGCUAGAGUGUGUCAGAGGGGGGUAGAAUUCCACGUGUAGCAGUGAAAUGCGUAGAGAUGUGGAGGAAUACCGAUGGCGAAGGCAGCCCCCUGGGAUAACACUGACGCUCAUGCACGAAAGCGUGGGGAGCAAACAGGAUUAGAUACCCUGGUAGUCCACGCCCUAAACGAUGUCAACUAGUUGUUGGGGAUUCAUUUCCUUAGUAACGUAGCUAACGCGUGAAGUUGACCGCCUGGGGAGUACGGUCGCAAGAUUAAAACUCAAAGGAAUUGACGGGGACCCGCACAAGCGGUGGAUGAUGUGGAUUAAUUCGAUGCAACGCGAAAAACCUUACCUACCCUUGACAUGCCACUAACGAAGCAGAGAUGCAUUAGGUGCUCGAAAGAGAAAGUGGACACAGGUGCUGCAUGGCUGUCGUCAGCUCGUGUCGUGAGAUGUUGGGUUAAGUCCCGCAACGAGCGCAACCCUUGUCUCUAGUUGCUACGAAAGGGCACUCUAGAGAGACUGCCGGUGACAAACCGGAGGAAGGUGGGGAUGACGUCAAGUCCUCAUGGCCCUUAUGGGUAGGGCUUCACACGUCAUACAAUGGUGCAUACAGAGGGUUGCCAAGCCGCGAGGUGGAGCUAAUCCCAGAAAAUGCAUCGUAGUCCGGAUCGUAGUCUGCAACUCGACUACGUGAAGCUGGAAUCGCUAGAAUCGCGGAU